Small nucleolar RNA from Zingiber officinale, 107 nucleotides. The record is from RefSeq and is a predicted model, not a curated record. Lineage: Eukaryota; Viridiplantae; Streptophyta; Magnoliopsida; Zingiberales; Zingiberaceae.
AAUCCAUGGUGGGGGCAUAAUCUGAGCAUCCUCUAAAAUCUAUCCCAAGUUUCGUACAAAGAUUCUCCCUCAUUCUAUUUUAAGCUUGCUAUGAGAUUUCUCAGGUG